CCUAUCAUGACCAUAGAGACCCUUGGUGACUAAUUUUUGUUGUAUAUUGCCCUGGGAAGGGGAUACGCUAUCUAAUAGAAAUUUCUGAGAGACCAGGAAAUAUACAAUAAGUGAUACGUGAGUGUACUGGUUAAAUUGCAAACAUAUUGGCUCAGAACCUUUAAUUGAGCCGGAAAAGAGGCUGCUGUAUGUUUGCUCCUCUAUAAUUUUGCGGGGGCGGUCACCCCCAUGCGGAAAGCCACUGCCAUCACAGGGUGGUUAGUUGUGCAGGCCCUUAGCCGCGAGGUGCAAGCAUGUCCGUGGAAAGGCUAG
Pelobates cultripes (western spadefoot toad) is the source of this 312-nucleotide non-coding RNA. NCBI's taxonomy places the organism in Eukaryota, Metazoa, Chordata, Amphibia, Anura, Pelobatidae. The record is from the annotation of a GenBank genome assembly.